This 73-nucleotide ribosomal RNA is filed under the name Corylus jacquemontii. RNAcentral's name for it is "partial 5.8S ribosomal RNA". The record is from RNAcentral. Lineage: Eukaryota; Viridiplantae; Streptophyta; Magnoliopsida; Fagales; Betulaceae.
AUCAUCGAGUCUUUGAACGCAAGUUGCGCCCGAAGCCAUCUGGUCGAGGGCACGUCUGCCUGGGCGUCACGCA